AGUGAACGCUGGCGGUAGGCCUAACACAUGCAAGUCGAACGGCAGCACAGUAAGAGCUUGCUCUUACGGGUGGCGAGUCGCGGACGGGUGAGGAAUACAUCGGAAUCUACUUUUUCGUGGGGGAUAACGUAGGGAAACUUACGCUAAUACCGCAUACGACCUACGGGUGAAAGCAGGGGAUCUUCGGACCUUGCGCGAUUGAAUGAGCCGAUGUCGGAUUAGCUAGUUGGCGGGGUAAAGGCCCACCAAGGCGACGAUCCGUAGCUGGUCUGAGAGGAUGAUCAGCCACACUGGAACUGAGACACGGUCCAGACUCCUACGGGAGGCAGCAGUGGGGAAUAUUGGACAAUGGGCGCAAGCAUGAUCCAGCCAUACCGCGUGGGUGAAGAAGGCCUUCGGGUUGUAAAGCCCUUUUGUUGGGAAAGAAAAGCAGCAGGUUAAUACCCCGCUGUUCUGACGGUACCCAAAGAAUAAGCACCGGCUAACUUCGUG
This 492-nucleotide ribosomal RNA is filed under the name uncultured bacterium. RNAcentral's name for it is "partial 16S ribosomal RNA". It matches the Rfam family "Bacterial small subunit ribosomal RNA", at positions 29 to 507 of the family's 1533-position model. The record is from RNAcentral.